AGCUCCAAUAGCGUAUAUUAAAGUUGUUGCAGUUAAAAAGCUCGUAGUUGGAUUUCUGUGAGAGUGCCGGUGUCGGCUGAUGCUUGUACACUGGCGCUCUUACAUCCUUCUGUUAACCGUUCUUGGCAUUCAUUUGCUGGUUCGGGGCUCAGAUAUUUUACCUUGAGAAAAUUAGAGUGUUUCAGGCAGGCUUAUGCCGGAAUACAUUAGCAUGGAAUAAUGGAACAGGACCUGUGCGUCUCUCGGGGCGCCGGUCUCCGUUAUUGGUUUCGGGGACUAAAGUAAUGAUUAAUAGGGAUAGUUGGGGGCAUUAGUAUUUAAUAGUCAGAGGUGAAAUUCUCGGAUUUGUUAAAGACUAACUUAUGCGAAAGCAUUUGCCAAGGAUGUUUUCAUUAAUCAA
This 400-nucleotide ribosomal RNA is filed under the name phytoplankton environmental sample. RNAcentral describes it as "partial small subunit ribosomal RNA". It matches the Rfam family "Eukaryotic small subunit ribosomal RNA", at positions 587 to 980 of the family's 1831-position model. The record is from RNAcentral.